RNAcentral lists this unclassified non-coding RNA (456 nucleotides) under Hevea brasiliensis (rubber tree). The record is from RNAcentral. Lineage: Eukaryota; Viridiplantae; Streptophyta; Magnoliopsida; Malpighiales; Euphorbiaceae.
AAACGGUUGAAAGAAGCACAAGAUGAAACAGAAGAUGAAGAAAGCAAUUGUGAAACCGAAGACAUUGAUGAAGAAGAAGAUGACACUGACUAUGAUGACGUGGACUCCGAGGAUGAGGAACGUGAAGAAACUGAAGAAGAGUUUCUAGAAAGAUAUGCAAAAGCAGCAAUAGCAUUGGAUGAUGACACAAUUGUUGAAGAGGGGGAUGUGGAAGAUCAAGAGCAUGAUAUUGAAUUAGGUGUCUGGGAGGAGUUAGAUGAGCAGAGGAUUAUAUUUUCAUUGAUAGAGAGAUUCAAUCAUAUUCUCAUACGAGGGCAGGCAUUGUCUUCGCAGGUCGUAUCAAAUUUCCUCUCUGCCUAUCCCGAGUGUAAUCGUUUCUUCCAACAAUAGGGACAUUAUUCUUUGGAGGUCGAUCGAGGAGGAAGAAUAAAAUAUUUAAUUUUACUUUUAGGGACA